GACGAACGCUGGCGGCGUGCUUAACACAUGCAAGUCGAACGGAAAGGCCCUGCUUUUGUGGGGUGCUCGAGUGGCGAACGGGUGAGUAACACGUGAGUAACCUGCCCUUGACUUUGGGAUAACUUCAGGAAACUGGGGCUAAUACCGGAUAGGAGCUCCUGCUGCAUUGUGGGGGUUGGAAAUUUUCGGCGGUGGGGGAUGGACUGGCGGCUUAUCAGCUUGUUGGUGGGGUAGUCGCUUACCAAGGCUUUGACGGGUAGCCUACCUGAGAGGGGGACGGCCGACUAUGCGCCUGAGAGAGGGAGCAGUCUAGGACAGGGGGAAACGGGGGGAAUUCUGACACAGCGAGAGGGCGCGGUAUCAGAAAGCGCUCCGGUGGGAAUGCCGUCUUGGUGGUAGAGAACCAUUUCCGGUUGUAACAAGGCGGGUCUGCGGGUAAUCAGAAAAGAAGCACCGGCUAACUUCGUG
RNAcentral lists this ribosomal RNA (468 nucleotides) under uncultured bacterium. RNAcentral's name for it is "partial 16S ribosomal RNA". It matches the Rfam family "Bacterial small subunit ribosomal RNA", at positions 28 to 507 of the family's 1533-position model. The record is from RNAcentral.